Molecule: ribosomal RNA, 484 nt
Filed under: uncultured bacterium
Lineage: Bacteria
Description: partial 16S ribosomal RNA
Rfam family: Bacterial small subunit ribosomal RNA
Source: RNAcentral
AUUGAACGCUGGCGGCAGGCCUAACACAUGCAAGUCGAGCGGAUGAAAGGAGCUUGCUCCUGGAUUCAGCGGCGGACGGGUGAGUAAUGCCUAGGAAUCUGCCUGGUAGUGGGGGAUAACGUCCGUAAACGGGCGCUAAUACCGCAUACGUCCUGAGGUAGAAAGUGGGGGAUCUUCGGACCUCACGCUAUCAGCUGAGCCUAGGUCGGAUUAGCUAGUUGGUGGGGUAAAGGCCUACCAAGGCGACGAUCCGUAACUGGUCUGAGAGGAUGAUCAGUCACACUGGAACUGAGACACGGUCCAGACUCCUACGGGAGGCAGCAGUGGGGAAUAUUGGACAAUGGGCGAAAGCCUGAUCCAGCCAUGCCGCGUGUGUGAAGAAGGUCUUCGGAUUGUAAAGCACUUUAAGUUGGGAGGAAGGGCAGUAAGUUAAUACCUUGCUGUUUUGACGUUACCAACAGAAUAAGCACCGGCUAACUUCGUG